RNAcentral lists this ribosomal RNA (2718 nucleotides) under Triticum aestivum (bread wheat). RNAcentral describes it as "partial small subunit ribosomal RNA". The record is from RNAcentral. Lineage: Eukaryota; Viridiplantae; Streptophyta; Magnoliopsida; Poales; Poaceae.
AUGAUGGACACGGCAGCAAGGGCAAGGAUCACCUUGUGGUGGUCUUUGUUCCUCUUCCUCGGUCUGAGUUUUGCUCAGACUGCCGCAGAGGGCGAAGCGGGCACGCUUAAAGUCGGUGCGGUCCUGAAUAUGCGGUCUUUGCUGGGCAAGAUGUCGCGUACUAGCAUCUUGAUGGCCAUGGAGGAUUUCUAUGCUGUCCACAGAGAUUACGCGACCAAGCUGGUUCUCCACAUCAGGGAUUCCAAUGGUGGUGGCAAUAUCCAAGCUGCAUCAGCAGCUAUUGAUCUGCUGGAGAAUCACCAUGUCCAAGCUAUCAUUGGUCCAGAAAAAUCCGCGGAGGCCACUUUUGUGUCUGAUAUUGGGAAUAACAGUCAAGUCCCCGUUAUCUCCUUCACGGCAACGAACCCCGCCCUUUCAUCUGCCAAUGUGCCAUAUUUUUUGCGCGCAACAUUAAGUGAUGCUGCCCAAGUGAAUAGUAUUGCUGCUCUCAUCAAAGCAUUUGGCUGGAGGGAAGUUGUGCCCAUAUACGAAGAUACGGACUACGGUAGAGGCAUCGUACCGUACCUGGUGGAUGCACUCCAAGAGUUCGGAGCUUCUAUGCCGUAUCGGAGUGUGAUAGCUCAGUCAGCAAGCAGUGACCAAGUUGAGCAAGAACUAUACAAGCUAAUGACAAUGCAGACAAGGGUCUACAUUGUGCAUAUGUUACCAACCACUGGUUCCAUCCUCUUCAAAAGGGCCAAGGAGAUCGGAAUGAUGACCGAAGCCUAUGUGUGGAUUUUGACGGAUGGAAUCGCAAAUGUCGUCAACUCGCUGAGCCCUUCAGUUCUUGAUGCAAUGGAUGGUGCAUUGGGUGUGAGGUUCCAUGUACCUAGAUCAAAGGAACUUGAUGAUUUCACUGCAAGAUGGAAUAAGAGGUACAGACAAGACUACCCAGAUGACUCACUAUCGCAACUAAGCAUUUACAGCCUCUGGGGUUACGAUGCUGUUUGGGCCCUGGCACAAGCAGCAGCGAAAGUUAGAAUGACCAGUCCCACAUUUCAGAAGCAGAAAUACAGAAAGAACUCAACCUGUGUUGGAACUUUGGGUGUUUCUACAGUUGGUCCAAAACUCUUGGAUGCAAUCUUGCAAUGCAAGUUCAGAGGCUUGAGUGGUGAUUUUGACCUCAGAAACAGACAGCUCCAGUUUUCCACAUUCCAGAUAAUUAAUGUGGUUAGAAGAGAAUCAAAAGAAAUAGGUUACUGGACAGCAAAGCAAGGAAUAUUCAGGAACCUGAAUCAAGAUGUAUCAGCACACACAUACUUAAACCCUAUGCCUGAUCUCAACCCAGUGGUUUGGCCAGGACAAACACAUAUAGUGCCUAAAGGAUGGCAAAUUCCUACUAAUCGGAAGAAGCUCCGAGUAGGUGUACGGACAAGUGGAUAUCCUGAGUUUAUGAAGGUGCAGAGGGACCCUGUCACCAAUGCGAUAACGGCAACAGGAUAUGCGAUAGAUGUAUUUGAAGAGGCGAUAAAGAAACUCCCGUAUGCAGUACCUUAUGAAUAUGUAUCAUUUGAUGCACUCGGAGUAAAUUAUGGGAGCUAUAAUGAUUUUGUCUACCAAGUUCCUCUUGGGGUGUAUGACGCAGCAAUUGGGGAUAUAACCAUCAGGCACAACAGAACAUCUUAUGCUGACUUUACACUACCUUAUACUGAAUCUGGGGUAGCAAUGAUCGUGCCAGUCAAAGACGAUACGAAUAAGAACACAUGGAUUUUCUUGAAGCCAUUAACUGGUGACUUGUGGUUUGCAAGCAUCGCAUUUCUCAUCUACACAGGAAUUGUUAUCUGGCUAUUGGAGAGACGAAUAAGAAAUGCAGAAUUGACUGGUUCAUUCUUCCACCAGCUUGGGACAGCAAUAUAUUUCUCCUUCUUUGCAGACAGGGAAAGGGUAGAAAGUAUUUUGGCUAGAUUGGUUGUUGUUGUAUGGGUCUUUGUACUUCUCGUAAUUACAUCAAGUUAUACGGCCAAUUUGUCAUCGAUGCUGACAGUGCAGAAGCUUCAACCCACAGAAACAGAUGUUCAUGAACUCCUGAAAAGAGGAGAGUAUGUAGGGUACCGUACUAGUUCUUAUGUAAGGGAACUACUAGAACAACUUGGUUUUGAGAGAAGUAAGAUCAGGGCGUACACUAAUCCAGAUGAUUUUGCUGAUGCACUUGAUAAAGGGAGCAAAAAUGGUGGAAUCGCAGCCGCCAUACAUGAAGUACCAUACAUCAAAUUAUUCCUCGCUAAGCAUUGCAAAGGUUACACGAUGGUUGGACCAAUUUACAAGUCUGAAGGUUUUGGCUUUGCGUUCCCCAAGCGAUCCCCUGUGGUUGACGACUUCUCAAGGGCGAUCCUCAAGAUAACAGAGGGAGAUGCUAUCAUUCAGAUAGAAAAGAAAUGGAUUGGAGAUGAACAUGCCUGUAAGAACGACGAAACCAUCAUCAGCCCGAGCAGUCUAGACUUCAAAAGCUUUUUAGGGCUCUUUCUAGUCACAGGAGUUGCUUCAACUUCUGCCCUUCUGAUAACACUGGUGAUGUUUCUCUACAAGAACAAGCACAAGAUGGGGAUCAACAUAGGCCGUGAUCAGGUUCAGCGGGGACAUGGAACUGAGCUCGUAACCAAACGGAUUCAAGAACGCGCAGCAGAUUCCGACAUACUGCGCCGAAUGAUUCAGAUGACCACACCUGCCAGAAAGAGAUAG